Molecule: RNA transcript, 1416 nt
Organism: Rosa rugosa (rugosa rose)
Lineage: Eukaryota; Viridiplantae; Streptophyta; Magnoliopsida; Rosales; Rosaceae
Exons: 7
Source: RefSeq, a predicted model, not a curated record
CUGAAAUCAAUAUAUAGACCAAAACAAAGCUCAGACAUAAGACCUUGAAACCCAAAUACUCCAGUAGAGAGAAUUUUUCUCAAGGAAACAGAGUUCUUUUGCCGCUGUGUUUUCUGGGUUUGCGAUGUUUCCAGGAGAACAGCAUCUUGGAAAGAUCGAUCAAACUGUACUUGACCUGCGCGUCCAUGUUGAGAAGGUAGUCUUUGAGCAGCAAACCGCUCUGUUAAAAUCUGUAGAACAAAAGAAAGUUCUUAGGCAAGAGCUUGAGCAAAGUGAUGCUCGAAAGAAAGAGCUUGAGAAACAACUUGUGGAGAAUGAAACUCAAAAGAAUGAACUUUGGAAAGUUCUUGAGCAGAGACAAGCUCAAACGGAAUAUCUUGAGAAAGAACUAGACCACAGUGAAGCUCAAAAACAAGAGCUAAAAAGAGAGCUCCAGAAGAGUGAAGCUCAGAAAGAAGAGCUUAGCAAAGAACUUAAGCAGAAGGAGGCUCAGAAUGAAGAGCUUAAGGAAGUACUCUUAGAGCAGAAAACAGCACUGUUAAAAUAUGAACAACAAAUGAAGGAUCGUAAGAAAUUUCUUGAGCAAACUGAAGCUCAAUGCAAAGAUCUUAAGAAAGAAGUUGAGCAGCUACUUAACCUACGUGACCACUUUAAAGCAGUAAUCUUAGAGCAGCAUGUAGACUUGUCAAAAUCUGAAGCUAAAGUGAAGGAUUUCAUAGAAGAGCUUGAACACAGUGAAGCUCGAAACAAAGAGCUUAAGAAAGAACUAGAGGCAAAUGAGCGGAAGAGGGAGCUCGAGCAGCAAGAGAUGGAACUGCAAAAAAUGAAUGAGAGGGUUUCCCUGGUUAAAGAGACAGCUGAUAAAUUGUUGCCACUUUUGGUUGAUAAAUUGAUGCCACUUUUGGCUGAUAAAUUGAUGCCACUUUUGGCAGAAGACCUAAUGCUAUGCCAUAAAGAAAAGGAAGACCUUCAUCGGAAAAACAAUGAAUUGGAAAAAAAGCUUGAGCAGCAGGAGAAGAAACUGCAACAAAUGCAAAGCGUUGAUGAAGAAGAUGAACGGUUGAGAAGUUUGAAAGACGAGUUGGGUGUCGAAGUUUACAAGGGGUAUUGAAUACACUCAAGUACUCAACCAGUGUAAAACGGCAGGAAAGCGAUAUAAGCUGAAGAGUAUCGGAUAGCAGUGAGAGUGGAGGUGGCUAAAUGGUGAAGUACCACUAGUAGUUGUAGUUGCUUUGAUAGGAAAACUUAGCAAGUAGCUCUUGUACUGACUUGCACACCCAGCCUGAUGUGCAUGCAUUUUCAUAUUUGUAAAUAGAUAGGGUUAAGCUUAAGAUGGCAUAUCUAACUUUGCCUCCUUUUCUGGAUCUUCUGAAGUUUUGUCAUCCUUUAUACUUCUAGUGAUUUGGCAGUUACUCC